GUCUAUGGCCAUACCACCCUGAACGCAUCUGAUCUCAGAAGCUUAAGCAGGGUCAGGCCUGCUUAGUACUUGGUUGGGAGACCACCUGGGAAUACUGGGGGCUGUAGCCU
This 110-nucleotide ribosomal RNA is filed under the name Cebus imitator (Panamanian white-faced capuchin). Lineage: Eukaryota; Metazoa; Chordata; Mammalia; Primates; Cebidae. The record is from RNAcentral.